GAUGAACGCUGGCGGCGUGCUUAACACAUGCAAGUCGAACGGGAGACAUUUUAUUGAAGCUUCGGCAGAUUUAGUUGUUCCAGUGGCGACGGGUGAGUAACGCGUGGGUAACCUGCCUCACACUGGGGGAUAACAGUCAGAAAUGACCGCUAAUACCGGCAUAAGCGCACGGAACCGCAAUGGUUUUAGUGUGAAAAACUCCGGUGGUGUGAGAUGGACCCGCGUCGAUUAGCCAGUU
This 238-nucleotide ribosomal RNA is filed under the name uncultured bacterium. Its description in RNAcentral is "partial 16S ribosomal RNA". It matches the Rfam family "Bacterial small subunit ribosomal RNA", at positions 28 to 250 of the family's 1533-position model. The record is from RNAcentral.